This 253-nucleotide ribosomal RNA is filed under the name uncultured bacterium. Its description in RNAcentral is "partial 16S ribosomal RNA". It matches the Rfam family "Bacterial small subunit ribosomal RNA", at positions 524 to 776 of the family's 1533-position model. The record is from RNAcentral.
UACGUAGGGCGCGAGCGUUGUCCGGAUUUAUUGGGCGUAAAGAGCUCGUAGGCGGCCUGUUGCGUCCGCUGUGAAAUCCCAGGGCUCAACCCUGGGCGUGCAGUGGAUACGGGCAGGCUGGAGGCAGGCAGGGGAGAACGGAAUUCCCGGUGUAGCGGUGAAAUGCGCAGAUAUCGGGAAGAACACCCGUGGCGAAGGCGGCUCUCUGGGACGGUACUGACGCUGAGACGCGAAAGCGUGGGGAGCGAACAGG